Phalaenopsis equestris is the source of this 366-nucleotide long non-coding RNA. RefSeq lists it as uncharacterized. The record is from RefSeq and is a predicted model, not a curated record. The transcript is spliced from 3 exons. NCBI's taxonomy places the organism in Eukaryota, Viridiplantae, Streptophyta, Magnoliopsida, Asparagales, Orchidaceae.
UUUCAAGGGCAAGGCAACCGUCGCGAGGGAAGCCGAUACUGGCCUGUCUUCAUCUUAGGGCGGUAGGAGCUACGAAGCACUGAUAAUUUGGUUCUUGAACAAGGAAUAGUUUGGAAGAUUACGAUUCUUGCUGUAGAUAAGAAGACAACGCUUCGCAUAGUCCGGAAUGGUGCCGCUUCUGACGACGAUCGCCUCCAUCCUGAGAGCUAGGUACAUUAAAAUUAUGAUAUAACGAAAUUUGGAGGAAUGAAAAAUUGGUGUUGGAACUUGGAACUUGGAAGAUAUAAAUAAAAGACCUAUGGAGAUCCUCUCCUGACCAGUUGGGGAAUAUUAGAAGGCUCAUGAAGAGGCAGAUACCGCAACCGA